UACGGAGGGGACUAGCGUUGUUCGGAAUUACUGGGCGUAAAGCGCACGUAGGCGGAUUUGUAAGUCAGGGGUGAAAUCCCGAGGCUCAACCUCGGAACUGCCUUUGAUACUGCAAAUCUCGAGUCCGGAAGAGGUGAGUGGAAUUCCUAGUGUAGAGGUGAAAUUCGUAGAUAUUAGGAAGAACACCAGUGGCGAAGGCGGCUUACUGGUCCAUAACUGACGCUGAGGUGCGAAAGCGUGGGGAGCAAACAGGG
Molecule: ribosomal RNA, 254 nt
Filed under: uncultured bacterium
Lineage: Bacteria
Description: partial 16S ribosomal RNA
Rfam family: Bacterial small subunit ribosomal RNA
Source: RNAcentral